This 465-nucleotide ribosomal RNA is filed under the name uncultured bacterium. RNAcentral describes it as "bacterial SSU rRNA". It matches the Rfam family "Bacterial small subunit ribosomal RNA", at positions 330 to 793 of the family's 1533-position model. The record is from RNAcentral.
GCCAGACUCCUACGGGAGGCAGCAGUGAGGAAUAUUGGUCAAUGGCCGAGAGGCUGAACCAGCCAAGUCGCGUGAGGGAAGACGGCCCUAUGGGUUGUAAACCUCUUUUGUCGGAGAACAAGACCCGGGACGUGUCCCGGACUGCGUGUAUCCGAAGAAAAAGCAUCGGCUAACUCCGUGCCAGCAGCCGCGGUAAUACGGAGGAUGCGAGCGUUAUCCGGAUUUAUUGGGUUUAAAGGGUGCGUAGGCGGUCCGUUAAGUCAGCGGUAAAAUUGCGGGGCUCAACACCGGCCUGCCGUUGAAACUGGCAGUCUCGAGUUGGAGAGAAGUAUGCGGAAUGCGCGGUGUAGCGGUGAAAUGCAUAGAUAUCGCGCAGAACUCCGAUUGCGAAGGCAGCAUGCCGGCUCCACACUGACGCUGAGGCACGAAAGCGUGGGUAUCGAACAGGAUUAGAUACCCCGGUAU